CGAACGCUGGCGGCGUGCUUAACACAUGCAAGUCGAACGGUGAUGGCCAGCUUGCUGGUCUGAUCAGUGGCGAACGGGUGAGUAACACGUGAGCAACCUGCCCUUCACUCUGGGAUAACCACGGGAAACGGUGGCUAAUACCGGAUACGAGACACACGGGCAUCCGUAGUGUUUGGAAAGAUUUAUCGGUGGGGGAUGGGCUCGCGGCCUAUCAGCUUGUUGGUGGGGUAGUGGCCUACCAAGGCGACGACGGGUAGCCGGCCUGAGAGGGCGACCGGCCACACUGGGACUGAGACACGGCCCAGACUCCUACGGGAGGCAGCAGUGGGGAAUAUUGCACAAUGGGCGCAAGCCUGAUGCAGCGACGCCGCGUGAGGGAUGACGGCCUUCGGGUUGUAAACCUCUUUCAGCAGGGAAGAAGCGCAAGUGACGGUACCUGCAGAAGAAGCGCCGGCUAACUACGUGCCAGCAGCCGCGGUAAUACGUAGGGCGCAAGCGUUGUCCGGAAUUAUUGGGCGUAAAGAGCUCGUAGGCGGUUUGUCGCGUCUGCUGUGAAAACCUAAGGCUCAACCUUGGGCUUGCAGUGGGUACGGGCAGACUAGAGUGCGGUAGGGGUGACUGGAAUUCCUGGUGUAGCGGUGGAAUGCGCAGAUAUCAGGAGGAACACCGAUGGCGAAGGCAGGUCACUGGGCCGCAACUGACGCUGAGGAGCGAAAGCAUGGGGAGCGAACAGGAUUAGAUACCCUGGUAGUCCAUGCCGUAAACGUUGGGCACUAGGUGUGGGGCUCAUUCCACGAGUUCCGUGCCGCAGCAAACGCAUUAAGUGCCCCGCCUGGGGAGUACGGCCGCAAGGCUAAAACUCAAAGAAAUUGACGGGGGCCCGCACAAGCGGCGGAGCAUGCGGAUUAAUUCGAUGCAACGCGAAGAACCUUACCAAGGCUUGACAUACACCGGAAAAGUGCAGAGAUGUGCUCCCCGUAAGGUCG
Molecule: ribosomal RNA, 986 nt
Filed under: Cellulomonas chitinilytica
Lineage: Bacteria; Bacillati; Actinomycetota; Actinomycetes; Micrococcales; Cellulomonadaceae
Description: bacterial SSU rRNA
Rfam family: Bacterial small subunit ribosomal RNA
Source: RNAcentral